CCGCUGGCGGACCGGGAAGUCGCUGAAGACAGAGCGAUGGCAGUUCUGGAGGCCUCGCUCUGGGACCGACCCGAGGCCACAGUGCCCCCGCGGUAGACCGGACUUGGGUGACGGGCUCCGGGCUCCCGAGGGAUGGAAGGGUCUAAGACGUCCAACAACAGCACCAUGCAGGUGAGCUUCGUGUGCCAGCGCUGCAGCCAGCCCCUGAAACUGGACACGAGUUUCAAGAUCCUGGACCGUGUCACCAUCCAGGAACUCACAGCUCCAUUACUUACCACAGCCCAGGCGAAACCAGGAGAGACCCAGGAGGAAGAGACUAACUCAGGAGAGGAGCCAUUUAUCGAAACUCCUCGCCAGGAUGAUGUCUCUCGCAGAUUCAUCCCCCCAGCCAGGAUGAUGUCCACAGAAAGUGCCAACAGCUUCACUCUGAUUGGGGAGGCAUCUGAUGGCGGCACCAUGGAGAACCUCAGCCGAAGACUGAAGGUCACUGGAGACCUUUUUGACAUCAUGUCGGGCCAGACAGAUGUGGAUCACCCACUCUGUGAGGAAUGCACAGAUACUCUUUUAGACCAGCUGGACACUCAGCUCAACGUCACUGAAAAUGAGUGUCAGAACUACAAACGCUGUUUGGAGAUCUUAGAGCAAAUGAAUGAGGAUGACAGUGAACAGCUACAGAUGGAGCUAAAGGAGCUAGCACUAGAGGAGGAGAGGCUGAUCCAGGAGCUGGAAGACGUGGAAAAGAACCGCAAGAUAGUGGCAGAAAAUCUCGAGAAGGUCCAGGCUGAGGCUGAGAGACUGGAUCAGGAGGAAGCCCAGUAUCAGAGAGAAUACAGUGAAUUUAAACGGCAACAGCUGGAGCUGGAUGAUGAGCUGAAGAGUGUGGAAAACCAGAUGCGUUAUGCACAGAUUCAGCUGGAUAAGCUGAAGAAAACCAAUGUCUUUAAUGCAACCUUCCACAUCUGGCACAGUGGACAGUUUGGCACAAUCAAUAACUUCAGGCUGGGUCGCCUGCCCAGUGUUCCCGUAGAAUGGAAUGAGAUUAAUGCUGCUUGGGGCCAGACUGUGUUGCUGCUCCAUGCUCUGGCCAAUAAGAUGGGUCUGAAAUUUCAGAGAUAUCGACUUGUUCCUUACGGAAACCAUUCAUAUCUGGAGUCUCUGACAGACAAAUCUAAGGAUGGAUGUGGAGAAAGGCAAGAUUGAAGACACAGGAGGCAGCGGCGGCUCCUAUUCCAUCAAAACCCAGUUUAACUCUGAGGAGCAGUGGACAAAAGCUCUCAAGUUCAUGCUGACGAAUCUUAAGUGGGGUCUUGCGUGGGUAUCCUCACAAUUUUAUAACAAAUGACUUUUUUCCUUAGGGGGAGGUUUGCCUUAAAGGCUUUUAAUUUUGUUUUGUUUGCAAACAUGUUUUAAAUUAAAUUCGGGUAAUAUUAAACAGUACAUGUUUACAAUACCAAAAAAAAAGAAAAAAUCCACAAAAGCCACUUUAUUUUAAAAUAUCAUAUGACAGAUAGUUUCCAGAGCUACAACAUGCCAGGUAUAGCUGCCAACCAUUGUCACAGUUUUGACUCUUAACCCCAUGGACUCCUUUCCCUUUCUUCUCUGAAAAAAACUAAUUUAAAUUUGCUUUUUUUUUUUUUAACUGAGUUGAAUUGAGAUUAAUGUGUUUUCACUGGAUUUGUAUCUCUCUCAACUUCCUGCACUUAACAGUAUGAAAUAGAAACUCGUCUUUACUGAGACGAGGAUAUGUUUGAGAUGCACAGUUGGAUAAUGUGGGAAAAUGACAUCUAAGCUUUACCUGGUCACCAUGUGAUGUGCAGAUGCUUGAAAUGUAACACUUCUCACUCGGUUCUCAUACUGAAUGCCGACUCUGCUCUGUGUUAGAGAUAUGAAAUGGUGUUUGAUACUGUUUGAGACAUUAUGGAGAGAUUUAAUUAUUUGUAAUAAAAGAUUUGCUGCAGUCUGAAAA
This is an RNA transcript of Cercocebus atys (sooty mangabey), 1966 nucleotides long. It is a transcript of the gene named beclin-1 pseudogene, with no coding region annotated. The transcript has a single exon. The record is from RefSeq and is a predicted model, not a curated record. Lineage: Eukaryota; Metazoa; Chordata; Mammalia; Primates; Cercopithecidae.